GCGGAGGAAAAGAAAAUAACAAUGAUUUCCCUAGUAACGGCGAGUGAAGAGGAAAGAGCUCAAAGUUGGAAACUGUUUGGCUUAGCUAAACCGUAUUGUAAACUGUAGAAACAUUUUCCUGGCACACCAGAUUAAUAAGUCCUUUGGAACAAGGCAUCAUGGAGGGUGAGAAUCCCGUCUUUGAUCUGAGUAGUUGUCUUUUGUGAUAUGUUUUCAAAGAGUCAGGUUGUUUGGGAAUGCAGCCUAAAUUGGGUGGUAAAUCUCACCUAAAGCUAAAUAUUUGCGAGAGACCGAUAGCGAACAAGUACCGUGAGGGAAAGAUGAAAAGAACUUUGAAAAGAGAGUUAAACAGUAUGUGAAAUUGUUAAAAGGGAACCGUUUGGAGCCAGACUGGUUUGACUGUAAUCAACCUAGAAUUCGUUUUGGGUGCACUUGCAGUCUAUACCUGCCAACAACAGUUUGAUUUGGAGGAAAAAAUUAGUAGGAAUGUGGCCUCUCGAGGUGUUAUAGCCUACUAUCAUACUCUGGAUUGGACUGAGGAACGCAGCGAAUGCCUUUAGGCGAGAUUGCUGGGUGCUUUCGCUAAUAAAUGUUAGAAUUUCUGCUUCGGGUGGUGCUAAUGUUUAAAGGAGGAACACAUCUAGUAUAUUUUUUAUUCGCUUAGGUUGUUGGCUUAAUGACUCUAAAUGAC
Molecule: ribosomal RNA, 691 nt
Filed under: Mucor janssenii
Lineage: Eukaryota; Fungi; Mucoromycota; Mucoromycetes; Mucorales; Mucoraceae
Also listed under: 1 other name
Description: eukaryotic LSU rRNA
Rfam family: Eukaryotic large subunit ribosomal RNA
Source: RNAcentral